RNAcentral lists this ribosomal RNA (264 nucleotides) under uncultured bacterium. RNAcentral describes it as "partial 16S ribosomal RNA". It matches the Rfam family "Bacterial small subunit ribosomal RNA", at positions 793 to 1055 of the family's 1533-position model. The record is from RNAcentral.
AUCCACGCUGUAAACGAUGCUGACUAGGCACGGGCGAGUAUCGACCCUUGUCCGCGCCGAAGCUAACGCGUUAAGUCAGCCGCCUGGGGAGUACGGCCGCAAGGCUAAAACUCAAAGGAAUUGACGGGGAUCCGCACAAGCGGUGGAGCAUGUGGUUUAAUUCGACGAUAAGCGAGGAACCUUACCUGGUUUUGACAUUGCACUGCAAGCGCUAGAGAUAGCGCCGCCUUCGAGGGUGUGCAACAGGUGCUGCACGGUUGUCGU